Ictalurus punctatus (channel catfish) is the source of this 621-nucleotide long non-coding RNA. The record is from Ensembl. Lineage: Eukaryota; Metazoa; Chordata; Actinopteri; Siluriformes; Ictaluridae.
GCCACGCCUCCUUCACCAUGACCGACAGAUACAGAGGCCACGCCUCCUUCACCAUGACGACAGAUACAGAGGCCACGCCUCCUUCACCAUGACCGACAGAUACAGAGGGCCACGCCUCCUUCACCAUGACUGUGCGGAUACAGAGGCCACGCCUCCUUCACCAUGACUGUGCGGAUACAGAGGCCACGCCUCCUUCACCAUGACUGACGCAUACAGAGGCCACGCCUCCUUCACCAUGACUGUGCGGAUACAGAGGCCACGCCUCCUUCACCAUGACUGACGGAUACAGAGGCCACGCCUCCUUCACCAUGACUGACGGAUACAGAGGCCACGCCUCCUUCACCAUGACUGACAGAUACAGAGGCCACGCCUCCUUCACCAUGACUGACGGAUACAGAGGCCACGCCUCCUUCACCAUGACUGACAGAUCCAGAGGCCACGCCUCCUUCACCAUGACUGACAGUUACAGAGGCCACGCCUCCUUCACCGUGACUGAUAGAUCCAGAGGCCACGCCUCCUUCCCCAGGACAGACAGUUGUCCUGAUGUUCAUGUUAAAAGUAAAUCUGAAUCAUAUUUGACUACAAGGACGUGAUGAAUGAUAAAACUGUGAAAGGACUGAC